Molecule: non-coding RNA, 374 nt
Organism: Pelodiscus sinensis (Chinese soft-shelled turtle)
Lineage: Eukaryota; Metazoa; Chordata; Testudines; Trionychidae
Source: RefSeq, a predicted model, not a curated record
GAGCACGUGUCUGAAGGGGCAGAAAGGAGCCCAGGGCAGGAGGGGCGGCGCCGGUCCCCCAGGCGCUGCCGGGGAGAAGGGCUACCAAGGUGCACAGGGGCUGCGAGGUCCCCGAGGGACGAGGGGCGCGGCAGGACACCCGGGGUGCCGGGGAGCUCAGGGGCUUUCCGGAGACGUGGGGCCCCCCGGGAACACCGGCCCCGCUGGCCCCAAGGGCGUGAAGGGGGAGGCCGGAGAAAGAGGCGAGAAGGGGGACGUAGGAUCUCUGGGGCUCAAGGGGGCGCUGGGGGACAAUGGAUGCGAUAGACGAGGCGCUCCAGGGAGGCAGGGCCCAAAGGGCGCCGGAGGAGGCCGCGGAGAGCCUGGAGCUCAGG